UUUCUUGCCGUCUGUCUCUCGUCUGGAAAGCGUUUCUAUCCUGAGGAGGUGGCGAAUUCCUGGAGGAGGCUCCGGAAGGGGGGAGGGUCGGUGGGAGAGUCCAAAAAUCUGUCACAAAAUGGAGUCUAAUCGCUUGUAAGACAGCUCCCAGGCCGGGCGACCCGAGAUUCGUUGGUGUGCGAGCGGGAGCCUGCGCGCGCCGGAGGACGCGGCGCUCCUGCUCGGGCCACGCUCCCACCUCGGCGUCCUGGGCUGGCGGCGCCCUUCCGCCGGCCGGGCCUGCCCGGGCGGCCUCGCCUCUCGGCACGCAGAGUUACAGGGCUCCGCUGAGCCUGCGAGGGUCCCCUUGGGCUCCCCUGCCCAGGAUUUUUCUUGAGUAGGAGAAGAAGGCUGUGAGGAUUUCCUCUGGGGUAUGUGACUGUCGACCCUCAGCUCCCUCCCGUCCUGCCCCUUGGAGCCAGGCUUAGGGCCACACAGUCCUGGCAUCUACCUGAGCCGCUUCUGUAAAAUGGGGACAUAUCCACCUGGGAGAAAGGAUUCUAAUAAGGAUUCGAGAUAACAUGCCCCAAAGGACCUGGCAUCUUGCCUGGCAUGUUGUUAAUACUCUGGAAAUUAUUGUUGUCGCUAUUAUCACCAUCAGUGUGGCAAGAAUGUCUUGUCGCCGAAGACAUACCAAACUGCCUCUGUGUUCCAUGCCAGAGAAAGGUGCAGCUGGCAUGGUAGGCUUGCCGUGAACCUCUCUGUGCAGGGAAGGUGAGGAGCACCCCUGGGAAAAUCGCUCCCUUGCCUGAGAGGGGCACUGUGAGGGCCAACACUCCUUCAGUGAUGAAAAGAACUCUAGGUUCUGAGACAGAACUGGAUUCACCUCCCAGCCCCACCAUUCAGCAGCCGUGUGAUCUCAGCCAAGUGCCGACCUGUCUCUGAGCCCCAGGUUCUCCAUCAGCAAAUUAGGAGUGAUGAUACAACAUCCCGGGGUGGUUGUAAGGAUAGCACGAGGUAUCUGGUGAGGAUGCAGUAAGCGUUCCAAACUCCACGGGAUCCAGUAUCGUCUUCGUGACCUCCAGAGAGGCAGAAACACUGAUUGUAGAGAUCAGAACAAAUGCCACCUGUGCAUGAUCGGGCAGGGCAGGUAUCAGGAUGAGCCUGGUGUUCUGGCCUGUUUCUCUUUGGGGCAGGGGUGCGUGAGAGGGAGUGGAAGUUGGUCCGGAGCGAAGAUCUUUCCACUGGGGAGCAACUGGAAUCUCUAGAGUCUGAGUACAGCUUGGAAAAUCCUACACAGAAGUAUAAUUUCAUAUUUGGAAAACC
Long non-coding RNA from Leopardus geoffroyi (Geoffroy's cat), 1305 nucleotides. RefSeq lists it as uncharacterized. The record is from RefSeq and is a predicted model, not a curated record. The transcript has 2 exons. Lineage: Eukaryota; Metazoa; Chordata; Mammalia; Carnivora; Felidae.